AUUGAACGCUGGCGGCAUGCCUUACACAUGCAAGUCGAACGGUAACAGGUCUUCGGAUGCUGACGAGUGGCGAACGGGUGAGUAAUACAUCGGAACGUGCCCGAGAGUGGGGGAUAACGAAGCGAAAGCUUUGCUAAUACCGCAUACGAUCUCAGGAUGAAAGCAGGGGACCGCAAGGCCUUGCGCUCACGGAGCGGCCGAUGGCAGAUUAGGUAGUUGGUGGGAUAAAAGCUUACCAAGCCGACGAUCUGUAGCUGGUCUGAGAGGACGACCAGCCACACUGGGACUGAGACACGGCCCAGACUCCUACGGAGGCAGCAGUGGGAAUUUUGGACAAUGGCGCAAGACCUGAUCCAGCCAUGCCGCGUGCAGGAUGAAGGCCUCGG
RNAcentral lists this ribosomal RNA (386 nucleotides) under uncultured bacterium. RNAcentral's name for it is "bacterial SSU rRNA". It matches the Rfam family "Bacterial small subunit ribosomal RNA", at positions 30 to 420 of the family's 1533-position model. The record is from RNAcentral.